GAUGAACGCUGGCGGCGUGCCUAAUACAUGCAAGUCGAGCGAAGCGGGGACGGGUGAGUACCACGUGGCUAACCUCCUAUAAGACUGGGAUACCUUAGGGAAACCGGAGCUCAACCGGACACUUAUAGAUGGUUCCGCGCUGCAUUAGCUAGUUGGUACGGUAACGGCUUACCAAGGCAACGAUGCAUAGCCGACCUGAGAGGGUGAUCAGCCACACUGGAACUGAGACACGGUCCAGACUCCUACGGGAGGCAGCAGUAGGGAAUCUUCCGCAAUGGGCGAAAGCCUGACGGAGCAACGCCGCGUGUGUGAUGAAGGUCUUCGGAUCGUAAAACUCUGUUAGUAGGGAAGCGGUACCUAAACAGAAAGCCACGGCUAACUACGUGCCAGCAGCCGCGGUAAUAC
This 405-nucleotide ribosomal RNA is filed under the name uncultured bacterium. RNAcentral's name for it is "partial 16S ribosomal RNA". It matches the Rfam family "Bacterial small subunit ribosomal RNA", at positions 28 to 526 of the family's 1533-position model. The record is from RNAcentral.